AGUAACGGCGAGUGAACAGGGAGAAGCCCAAAUUUGUAAUCUGGCACUUUUUACAAGUGUCCGAGUUGUAAUUUGUAGAACUGUUAUCCGUGCUGGACCAUGUACAAGUCUGUUGAAAAGCAGCAUCAUUGAAGGUGAAAAUCCUGUAGAUGAUAUGGACUACCAGUACUCUUGUGAUACGGUUUCUAAGAGUCGAGUUGUUUGGGAAUGCAGCUCAAAGUGGGUGGUAAAUUCCAUCUAAGGCUAAAUAUAAGUGAGAGACCGAUAGCAUACAAGUACCGUGAGGGAAAGAUGAAAAGAACUUUGAAAAUAGAGUUAACAGUACGUGAAAUUGCUGAAAGGUAAACGUUUGAAGUUAGUUUUGUAUUCGUUAGAUCAGCUUCGCAAGGAGUGUAUUCUGAUGAUAAGCAAGUCAACAUCAGUCUAUGAGUAUUGGAGAAGGGUUUUGAGAAUGUAGCAAUUUAAUUGUGUUAUAGCUUGAGACUUGGAUACGAUGCUUUGGAUUGAGGAACGCGUAGUAAGCUUUGAGCGGAUUCGAAAGGAUCUCCUUACUAUGGAUGUUGGUGAAAUAACUUUAAGCGACC
This 584-nucleotide ribosomal RNA is filed under the name Melampsora sp. HMAS 62584. Its description in RNAcentral is "eukaryotic LSU rRNA". It matches the Rfam family "Eukaryotic large subunit ribosomal RNA", at positions 82 to 649 of the family's 3401-position model. Lineage: Eukaryota; Fungi; Basidiomycota; Pucciniomycetes; Pucciniales; Melampsoraceae. The record is from RNAcentral.